CAGCAGCCGCGGUAAUACGUAGGUCCCGAGCGUUGUCCGGAUUUAUUGGGCGUAAAGCGAGCGCAGGCGGUUUGAUAAGUCUGAAGUUAAAGGCUGUGGCUUAACCAUAGUACGCUUUGGAAACUGUUUAACUUGAGUGCAAGAGGGGAGAGUGGAAUUCCAUGUGUAGCGGUGAAAUGCGUAGAUAUAUGGAGGAACACCGGUGGCGAAAGCGGCUCUCUGGUCUGUCACUGACGCUGAGGCUCGAAAGCGUGGGUAGCGAACAGGAUUAGAGACCCGCGUAGUCCCUGUCUCUUAUACA
RNAcentral lists this ribosomal RNA (301 nucleotides) under uncultured bacterium. Its description in RNAcentral is "partial 16S ribosomal RNA". It matches the Rfam family "Bacterial small subunit ribosomal RNA", at positions 509 to 808 of the family's 1533-position model. The record is from RNAcentral.